AACACAUGCAAGUCGAGGGGCAGCAUGGUCUUAGCUUGCUAAGGCCGAUGGCGACCGGCGCACGGGUGAGUAACACGUAUCCAACCUGCCGUCUACUCUUGAACAGCCUUCUGAAAGGAAGAUUAAUACAAGAUGGCAUCAUGAGUCCGCAUGUUCACAUGAUUAAAGGUAUUCCGGUAGACGAUGGGGAUGCGUUCCAUUAGAUAGUAGGCGGGGUAACGGCCCACCUAGUCUUCGAUGGAUAGGGGUUCUGAGAGGAAGGUCCCCCACAUUGGAACUGAGACACGGUCCAAACUCCUACGGGAGGCAGCAGUGAGGAAUAUUGGUCAAUGGGCGAGAGCCUGAACCAGCCAAGUAGCGUGAAGGAUGACUGCCCUAUGGGUUGUAAACUUCUUUUAUAAAGGAAUAAAGUCGGGUAUGGAUACCCGUUUGCAUGUACUUUAUGAAUAAGGAUCGGCUAACUCCGUGCCAGCAGCCGCGGUAAUACGGAGGAUCCGAGCGUUAUCCGGAUUUAUUGGGUUUAAAGGGAGCGUAGAUGGAUGUUUAAGUCAGUUGUGAAAGUUUGCGGCUCAACCGUAAAAUUGCAGUUGAUACUGGAUAUCUUGAGUGCAGUUGAGGCAGGCGGAAUUCGUGGUGUAGCGGUGAAAUGCUUAGAUAUCACGAAGAACUCCGAUUGCGAAGGCAGCCUGCUAAGCUGCA
RNAcentral lists this ribosomal RNA (699 nucleotides) under uncultured Bacteroidales bacterium. RNAcentral's name for it is "bacterial SSU rRNA". It matches the Rfam family "Bacterial small subunit ribosomal RNA", at positions 50 to 738 of the family's 1533-position model. Lineage: Bacteria; Pseudomonadati; Bacteroidota; Bacteroidia; Bacteroidales. The record is from RNAcentral.